This 442-nucleotide long non-coding RNA is filed under the name Mustela putorius furo (domestic ferret). RNAcentral describes it as "lncRNA (ENSMPUG00000028137.1)". Lineage: Eukaryota; Metazoa; Chordata; Mammalia; Carnivora; Mustelidae. The record is from RNAcentral.
AGACUACUGAUCCAGAGGAUGUCUCUCAGUUCCUUCCUAGGGGCUUUACCACCUCAAAGGACUCAGGGAACCCCUCCAAGACACCUUUUAAAUCCUUCCACGAGUUCUCUCCAGCCCCAGACCAGUAGAAUCUCACGUGAACCUGCCCCCCUCCUGUCUACUGGAUCUCUGAAGAACAAAGGUUGUUUCCACCGUGGGGGUCUGCAUGCAGGUCUCAGAACAUAAUCUCUUCCUUGGGCAGAUUCACGAUCUUCUCUGGGAGUCAAGGGCCUUUCCUCUGAAUGGUAACAGAGGUUGGCAGCAGUUCUGUGUCCUGUCAUCACCAAUUCAGGAUCCAGUCUGGCAGUGCAGACUGUAUCUAGAGUACUACCAAAUUGGGGGCAAAGAGAAAAGAGACACAGUGAAACACAUACCAGCUUUUAAAAUUUCUACCAGGAAGUGA